This 440-nucleotide small RNA is filed under the name Cryptococcus neoformans H99. RNAcentral describes it as "Cryptococcus neoformans var. grubii H99 hypothetical RNA". Lineage: Eukaryota; Fungi; Basidiomycota; Tremellomycetes; Tremellales; Cryptococcaceae. The record is from RNAcentral.
GUUGACCCGCCUACAAAUACCAAUCAGCGGAGUCGAUCUAUGGCCUCGCACUGCGCCAACGCCCCCUAUCAUUUAUGGACAGGACCACGGGAAUCACAAAUAAAAGCGGCACCUUAGUUGUACGAGGGGACCAAUUUGUGUUCCUGUUCAUGUCUAGCGAGAGACUGAUGGAAGAAAUUAUGAAGGAAGAGUUGAGGAGAUGUAAGAAGGUUAAAAAGAUUGGGCAGUUGCUGCUAGAAGAGAUAUCUUGAUAUCUUUAAGAUGUUUAGGAUUUUAUAUGUUUCAAAGAUAUAGGCGAAUUCAGAAGAUGAAAGUUGAGAAGUAGUAGUUCGGUAGAGAUUAAUCACAUAGGCAUCAAUGAUUUCGCCCCACAUACAAAAGAUAACGAGCAAAAAGAUAGAUAAUAAUAAUGAACUUGAAAUGAAAUAAAAAGAGUUGUC